RNAcentral lists this unclassified non-coding RNA (352 nucleotides) under soil metagenome. RNAcentral describes it as "partial contains 5.8S ribosomal RNA, internal transcribed spacer 2, and large subunit ribosomal RNA". The stretch from base 1 to 120 matches the Rfam family "5.8S ribosomal RNA", at positions 35 to 154 of the family's 154-position model. The record is from RNAcentral.
GAUGAAGAACGUAGCGAAAUGCGAUAAGUAAUGUGAAUUGCAGAAUUCAGUGAAUCAUCGAAUCUUUGAACGCACAUUGCGCCCGCCAGUAUUCUGGCGGGCAUGCCUGUUCGAGCGUCAUUUCAACCCUCAGGCCCCCAGUGCCUGGUGUUGGGGAUCGGCCCAGCCUUCCUGUAAGGCCGCCGGCCCCGAAAUCUAGUGGCGGUCUCGCUGUAGUCCUCCUCUGCGUAGUAGCACAACCGCGCAGGUGGAACGCGGCGGUGGCCAUGCCGUUAAACACCCCACUUCUGAAAGUUGACCUCGGAUCAGGUAGGAAUACCCGCUGAACUUAAGCAUAUCAAUAAGCGGAGGA